CCCUGCUUUGAUACUAGUAAACGUGCUCAAAGUUCUCUAGGGACCUCUAAGGGCUGAAAAAUUCUCCCUACCACAGUUGCUGUGGGAUAGAGCACGUACAGCGUGAAAGAAAUAGAGUGAAAGGUCCUGGCAAGAUGCCCAUCCUACUUCUCGGAUAAAGGCCUUGGCUCUACUAAGAGGUAACAAAGAAGAAGAGCAGGUUUCAGAAGGUAUGAAAGGAAGCUGCAAAGAAUUGUGGACUUACUGAUAAUGGAUUUCCUACAUUCAGUAGUGUCAACAUCUUUGUUCAGAAUGUACUAUGAAAUAUAGAACAGAAUAAGACCUUCACAGAGGCAGACUUGACAUUAUCUGCAAGUUGAGAGUCAGAGGUUGAUGACUGCUGGAAUCAAGCACUGGUUCUACAGAUCACAGAUCAAUAGGGCUCCACUCAGGCAUGGUGCCAUCCUAUACUGCUUUUGA
This 459-nucleotide long non-coding RNA is filed under the name Anser brachyrhynchus (Pink-footed goose). RNAcentral's name for it is "lncRNA (ENSABRG00000016624.1)". The record is from RNAcentral. Lineage: Eukaryota; Metazoa; Chordata; Aves; Anseriformes; Anatidae.